UGAGACUGGAGCUGGGAUACAGACUGUUGGGUCACAAAGACUUGUUUUCUGCCUCUGUUUACAGCACUCCCAACAGGAAUCUGGGUUCAUUGUGACGAGGAGCACAAAACUUGGGGCCUUCCUGUGAACACAUACCCUACAUGU
Molecule: small nucleolar RNA, 144 nt
Organism: Camelus dromedarius (Arabian camel)
Lineage: Eukaryota; Metazoa; Chordata; Mammalia; Artiodactyla; Camelidae
Source: Ensembl